RNAcentral lists this ribosomal RNA (429 nucleotides) under Bacteroidota bacterium. RNAcentral's name for it is "Bacteroidetes bacterium partial 16S ribosomal RNA". It matches the Rfam family "Bacterial small subunit ribosomal RNA", at positions 355 to 776 of the family's 1533-position model. The record is from RNAcentral. Lineage: Bacteria; Pseudomonadati; Bacteroidota.
UAGGGAAUCUUCGGCAAUGGGGGGAACCCUGACCGAGCAACGCCGCGUGAGUGAAGAAGGUUUUCGGAUCGUAAAGCUCUGUUGUUAAGGAAGAAAGAGUGUGAGAAUGGAAAGUUCAUGCUGUGACGGUACUUAACCAGAAAGGGACGGCUAACUACGUGCCAGCAGCCGCGGUAAUACGUAGGUCCCGAGCGUUGUCCGGAUUUAUUGGGCGUAAAGCGAGCGCAGGCGGUUAGAAAAGUCUGAAGUGAAAGGCAGUGGCUCAACCAUUGUAGGCUUUGGAAACUGUUUAACUUGAGUGCAGAAGGGGAGAGUGGAAUUCCAUGUGUAGCGGUGAAAUGCGUAGUUAUAUGGAGGAACACCGGUGGCGACAGCGGCUCUCUGGUCUGUAACUGACGCUGAGGCUCGAAAGCGUGGGGAGCGAACAGG